UACGGAGGAUCCAAGCGUUAUCCGGAAUCAUUGGGUUUAAAGGGUCCGUAGGCGGGCCUGUAAGUCAGUGGUGAAAUCCGGCGGCUUAACCGUCGAACUGCCAUUGAUACUGCAGGUCUUGAAUUAUUGGGAAGUAACUAGAAUAUGUAGUGUAGCGGUGAAAUGCUUAGAUAUUACAUGGAAUACCGAUUGCGAAGGCAGGUUACUAUCAAUAUAUUGACGCUGAUGGACGAAAGCGUGGGGAGCGAACAGG
Molecule: ribosomal RNA, 253 nt
Filed under: uncultured bacterium
Lineage: Bacteria
Description: partial 16S ribosomal RNA
Rfam family: Bacterial small subunit ribosomal RNA
Source: RNAcentral